GUGGCCUGAAACAGGGACACCAGGUGGGAGCCAGCACAACCUGCAUGUGGCUGUGCUGGCUCCUGCCUCGGACCAGGGGUGUGUGUGGGCACGGGAGGAGCGAGGUGUGCUAGGCGGUGAUACAGGGCAGAUGCCAUAGCGAUGACAGCUGGCGAGGCAAAUGGUCCAGAGUGUAAACAUUGGAGAUAAGAAGAGCAUCUUAGUUCAGCUGAGUGAAGAUUACCUCCAGGGAUCACCUCCAGGGAUCACCUCCAGGGAUCCCCUCCAGGGAUCCCCUCCAGGGAUCACCUCCAGGGAUCCCCUCCAGGGAUCCCCUCCAGGAAUCACCUGCAGAGACCCUGCUGCUGCUGUUGCAUGUUCAUGCUUUCAGCAGAAACAUGGAGAUAGAGAGUCUUCCAUGAAGAUCUACUACCAGAGCCCCUGGCAAGCCAUCCAUCAGGGCUCCAGCGAAGGCCACUAUCUUCUGACUGACAAGAAAAUGGACCAGGACACCAUGAUGAGUGACUCCAGAGGGCUGGAGAUGGAUGCCUAUUGAUGUGCCACAAUAAACCAGCAAGAGACUGUUUACUGCGGUUAAGAGCCUCUCUCUCUGCAGUCGAUGAGCUGAGAUCUGCCGGCGUGUCAGUGCUCCCCUUUCCUCACAGAAGAGCUCCUUUCAGGAUAAGAAAGCUCUCUCAGUGUGUUGUGACAAGUCGUUGAGGCAGAAGAUCUCCCUGCUUGUUCACAUCGACACAGCAGCACCAGCGACCUUGAAGGUGACCCGCUGUGAACGUGUCUCUCAGAUGCAACCCUUGAAGAGGACAGCAAUCUUGGCCUGCUAUCAAACUGCACCGCACACGGGUGACCCUGUGGGGUUUCUGAAACAGCCUGGGAGAUGAGAUCAUCCUCACGGAUCCAAGGUUGACUGACAGGCAGGAGUGAGAGCGCUGAAGGUCACCAAGCGCGGUGAUAAGGAAGCUGUAGAGACCGCAGUUCUUACAGGCUACAAUCAGCUGAUUAUUCUUUCAAAUGCCAAAGAUGAAAAUAUGGCGGCACAAGUUGGUUGUGAUGCGAGUCGGAGGAUGUGGUUAUGUGAGUCCUGUGUCCUGGGCAGAGCCACGCUCAGCUGAGGAAGACAGAAACACGCUGUUCAACAUGCUGUAAAUCAUAAAUUCAAAUUGCAAUCAGGAUGUUAGCACUAGACAGCCCAAUGAAACAAGAACGUAAAUGUCAAACACAUCUGCAGCCAAUCUGAACACGACCGUUUUGCUCAAAUGCCAUAAAAACUAAAUAUACAAUU
Osmerus eperlanus (European smelt) is the source of this 1279-nucleotide long non-coding RNA. RefSeq lists it as uncharacterized. The transcript has 5 exons. The record is from RefSeq and is a predicted model, not a curated record. NCBI's taxonomy places the organism in Eukaryota, Metazoa, Chordata, Actinopteri, Osmeriformes, Osmeridae.